UCCUGCUCACACAGUCCCACCCCCGGUAUCUGCUUAGCGAGGCUUUCCAAGGAGUCAAGGGAUUCCUUGAUCGCGUUAGGCAAAAGUUUCAAAAAUUUUCAGAGGCUGAUCCAAAUUUGCAGCCCCUCAGGGGUGAAGACAGAGAGAAAACUUCAAUCCCUCACUUCUAUUUCUUUUGGAGGGAAGAGGAAUGACACUUCUGCAGGGCAUUGUAAUUCUUGAGUUUGUCUUUUGGACCGUCUUGGAAAGCUACAGGUAAAGUGCUUGAAAAGGAAGAAGACCUAUAUGGUGAAUCUAUGUGAGUUCAUCAUCCUGGGGAUUAUGACUUCCUUCUCUAAUGAGCUGAUGAUUAACUCUAAAGGAGUAUCACAGAGAAUGCAUCAUAUCAGCUUUCACUGUUAUUGGGAGAGGCUGUUGGGAAUCGUAACACAACUACACACAAUAUGAAAUGUAUUAUUGCCUAUUAAAAUAUCUGAUGUCAGAUUUUCUUGCA
Molecule: long non-coding RNA, 493 nt
Organism: Hemicordylus capensis (graceful crag lizard)
Lineage: Eukaryota; Metazoa; Chordata; Lepidosauria; Squamata; Cordylidae
Exons: 3
Source: RefSeq, a predicted model, not a curated record